This 465-nucleotide ribosomal RNA is filed under the name uncultured Treponema sp. RNAcentral's name for it is "bacterial SSU rRNA". It matches the Rfam family "Bacterial small subunit ribosomal RNA", at positions 338 to 795 of the family's 1533-position model. The record is from RNAcentral. Lineage: Bacteria; Pseudomonadati; Spirochaetota; Spirochaetia; Treponematales; Treponemataceae.
CCUACGGGAGGCAGCAGGUAAGAAUAUUCCGCAAUGGGGGGAACCCUGACGGAGCGACGCCGCGUGAACGAAGAAGGCCGGAAGGUUGUAAAGUUCUUUUCUGUCCGAGGAAUAAGUGUAGGAGGAAAUGCCUGCAUGGUGACGGUAGGGCAGGAAUAAGCACCGGCUAAUUACGUGCCAGCAGCCGCGGUAACACGUAAGGUGCGAGCGUUGUUCGGAAUUAUUGGGCGUAAAGGGCAUGCAGGCGGGUCGCCAAGCUUGGUAAGAAAUACCGGGGCUCAACUCCGGAGCUAUAUUGAGAACUGGCGAGCUAGAGUUGCCGAAGGGUAUCCGGAAUUCCGCGUGAAGGGGUGAAAUCUGUAGAUAUGCGGAAGAACACCGAUGGCGAAGGCAGGAUACCGGCGGACGACUGACGCUGAGGUGCGAAGGUGCGGGGAGCAAACAGGAUUAGAUACCCCUGUAGUC